AAAUGAAAGUAAAAAAUUUAUUUAAAAAUUAUUCUAGUGAUAAUUUUUAUAAUAUUUUUUAUGGGAAGAUAAUGAUUUUUUCAUAUAUUUUAAAAKUUUAACCUUUUGGUUAAUAUAAUUUUAAGUUUGAUAAAUUGUUUUCAAUCCCAAGGCGCUUUAAUUAAACGCAUUGCGUUUAAAAGCGCACUCUGAGCGUAUACGAUGAUACCCGAAAGAUGGUGAACUAUGCCUGGCCAGGACGAAGCCAGGGGAAACCCUGGUGGAGGUCCGCAGCGAUUCUGACGUGCAAAUCGAUCGUCGGAGCUGGGUAUAGGGGCGAAAGACCAAUCGAACCAUCUAGUAGCUGGUUCCCUCUGAAGUUUCCCUCAGGAUAGCUUGCGCUCGUUUUUUGAGUCUCAUCUGGUAGAGCGAAUGAUUAGAGGCAUUGGGGUCGAAACGACCUCAACCUAUUCUCAAACUCCAAAUAGAUGAGAACCCUGGCUUUCUUAAAAUUGAAGCCGUGGGUAACA
This 509-nucleotide ribosomal RNA is filed under the name Bactrodes biannulatus. Its description in RNAcentral is "eukaryotic LSU rRNA". The stretch from base 70 to 509 matches the Rfam family "Eukaryotic large subunit ribosomal RNA", at positions 667 to 1112 of the family's 3401-position model. Lineage: Eukaryota; Metazoa; Arthropoda; Insecta; Hemiptera; Reduviidae. The record is from RNAcentral.